RNAcentral lists this transfer RNA (60 nucleotides) under Candidatus Wolframiiraptor sp. EX4484-121. Its description in RNAcentral is "Thaumarchaeota archaeon ex4484_121 tRNA-Val". The record is from RNAcentral. Lineage: Archaea; Thermoproteati; Nitrososphaerota; Candidatus Wolframiiraptoraceae.
GGGCCGGUGGUCUAGCGGUAUGACGCCGCCCUCACGCGGCGGAGGUCGUGAGCCAGUCCA